GACGAACCUUGCUAACGUUAUUCGGAAUUACUGGGCUUAAAGGGUGCGUAGGCGGCGCGGUAAGUCGGGUGUGAAAUCUCGGAGCUUAACUCCGAAACUGCAUUCGAUACUGCCGUGCUUGAGGACUGGAGAGGAGACUGGAAUUUACGGUGUAGCGGUGAAAUGCGUAGAUAUCGUAAGGAAGACCAGUGGCGAAGGCGGGUCUCUGGACAGUUCCUGACGCUGAGGCACGAAGGUCAGGGGAGCAAACGGG
RNAcentral lists this ribosomal RNA (253 nucleotides) under uncultured bacterium. Its description in RNAcentral is "partial 16S ribosomal RNA". It matches the Rfam family "Bacterial small subunit ribosomal RNA", at positions 524 to 776 of the family's 1533-position model. The record is from RNAcentral.